GCGUGGCUUCCGGAGCUAACGCGUUAAAUAGACCGCCUGGGGAGUACGGCCGCAAGGUUAAAACUCAAAUGAAUUGACGGGGGCCCGCACAAGCGGUGGAGCAUGUGGUUUAAUUCGAUGCAACGCGAAGAACCUUACCUGGUCUUGACAUCCACAGAACUUGCCAGAGAUGGUUUGGUGCCUUCGGGAACUGUGAGACAGGUGCUGCAUGGCUGUCGUCAGCUCGUGUUGUGAAAUGUUGGGUUAAGUCCCGCAACGAGCGCAACCCUUAUCCUUUGUUGCCAGCGGUCCGGCCGGGAACUCAAAGGAGACUGCCAGUGAUAAACUGGAGGAAGGUGGGGAUGACGUCAAGUCAUCAUGGCCCUUACGACCAGGGCUACACACGUGCUACAAUGGCGCAUACAAAGAGAAGCGACCUCGCGAGAGCAAGCGGACCUCAUAAAGUGCGUCGUAGUCCGGAUUGG
RNAcentral lists this ribosomal RNA (464 nucleotides) under Sinorhizobium saheli. RNAcentral describes it as "bacterial SSU rRNA". It matches the Rfam family "Bacterial small subunit ribosomal RNA", at positions 837 to 1301 of the family's 1533-position model. Lineage: Bacteria; Pseudomonadati; Pseudomonadota; Alphaproteobacteria; Hyphomicrobiales; Rhizobiaceae. The record is from RNAcentral.